Long non-coding RNA from Cheilinus undulatus (humphead wrasse), 546 nucleotides. RefSeq lists it as uncharacterized. The transcript is spliced from 5 exons. Lineage: Eukaryota; Metazoa; Chordata; Actinopteri; Labriformes; Labridae. The record is from RefSeq and is a predicted model, not a curated record.
AGAAAAACAAAGAGGACAUCCUGCUGUGGACCUGAAGUUAAUUUAAGGAAUUUAUAGCAGAGUUUUGAUGCUUUUUUGUCGGGUUUUGUUCCCAGUAAAGCCCAGACUUGUGAAGAUUAACCAGCAAGACGAUGGAAAAACACUGAAACAGACCAGAAAAGACAGUUUCAGUGAAGAUGAUCAGCCAGGUGUGUGUUUUUGGAGGUCAUGAGGAGACUGUCAUACUGAGGAUGUGGGCGGAGCUAAAGGAGGUAUUUACAACCAGAGAGUGAGCCGUAGAUCACCAUCCAUCAACUCGACUUCACCUGAGGUCAUGUGGUGUUUGAUAACACCUCUCUAUCUCCUCUUCAUCGCCCCCUAAAUGACUCCCACCCUGGGCCAGAGCAUGGAGCUGGGGAGAGAGUCUGCUGGGAGUUUGAGCCUCCUCUGAGCCUGAUAAACGCUGACAGUGGAGGCGAGUUUUCAUAAAAGGAGCAUGGUGUCUUUAUAGGUCCAGAUUUACCAUGGGUUUGUGGAUGAAAAAAGCAACACAUUCUUGGAUGAAAA